AUGAACGCUGGCGGCGUGCCUAAUACAUGCAAGUCGAGCGAACAGACGAGGAGCUUGCUCCUCUGACGUUAGCGGCGGACGGGUGAGUAACACGUGGAUAACCUACCUAUAAGACUGGGAUAACUUCGGGAAACCGGAGCUAAUACCGGAUAACAUGUUGAACCGCAUGGUUCAACAGUGAAAGACGGUCUUGCUGUCACUUAUAGAUGGAUCCGCGCCGCAUUAGCUAGUUGGUAAGGUAACGGCUUACCAAGGCAACGAUGCGUAGCCGACCUGAGAGGGUGAUCGGCCACACUGGAACUGAGACACGGUCCAGACUCCUACGGGAGGCAGCAGUAGGGAAUCUUCCGCAAUGGGCGAAAGCCUGACGGAGCAACGCCGCGUGAGUGAAGAGGGUCUUCGGAUCGUAAAACUCUGUUAUUAGGGAAGAACAAAUGUGUAAGUAACUAUGCACGUCUUGACGGUACCUAAUCAGAAAGCCACGGCUAACUACGUG
Molecule: ribosomal RNA, 496 nt
Filed under: uncultured bacterium
Lineage: Bacteria
Description: partial 16S ribosomal RNA
Rfam family: Bacterial small subunit ribosomal RNA
Source: RNAcentral